Molecule: long non-coding RNA, 1119 nt
Filed under: Mytilus galloprovincialis (Mediterranean mussel)
Lineage: Eukaryota; Metazoa; Mollusca; Bivalvia; Mytilida; Mytilidae
Source: RNAcentral
CAAACUUUCUCACAAACAUUAUUAUGAGCUGUUGAUAUGCACAAGAUAUUUUAAUUUUUUGCGGUGAAAUGAUUUCUUUCUUGCAAAAAAGAAUGUUUACACUUUGUGCUAGUGAAUUUUAUAGCAGGGAAUAUCGGGUGCUCCGGAAGUGUAAGCAGAUCCUGCUGCAUAUGAGGUACCAUUGUGAUGCUCAUGUUAUUACAAACCCGUCAACUAGUAUAAUUUUUGGAAAAAGAACAGGAUUUUAGUUCCGACUUUUAUAGCAGGGAAUAUUGGGUGCUCCGGAAGGGUAAGCAGAUCGUGCUGCAUAUGAGGUACCAUCGUGAUGCUCAUGUUAUUACAAACCCGUCAAAUAGUAUAAUUUUUGGAAAGGAAACAGGAUUUUAGUUCCGACAUAAGGAACAUCAUCUGUGAAACUGAUAUUCCGUAACAGUCAACCAACUCGUUAUGGUGUCCGCCAAUAAUAUGAAGGUAUGAUUCAAACUUUACCAUUUGGAACUGUUGAUUUAAUAGUUUCCUUGUCAAGGAAAUCAUGAUAAGAAAUACAAGCCCGGGAAUGUCGUUUCAAUCAGGAGAUACAUACUUUGUAUGAAGGCGCUGCAGUAAUGUUGCUUCAUAGAAAUGGAAAGUUCACAAUUGGGAAGCUGAAAUCAUCUGUUGUCGUAAAGUUUUGUUUUCAACCGACCUUUCAUUGUAAAUUUCGAUAUGGCGUAGACUUAACUGUAUCUGUUGUAUCCUUUAUCUCUAGUUCGAUGGGAUAAAUUUUGAAUUAUUGAGUGAGAGAACAUUAUCUAUAUAGCGGAAAGUAAAAGUUAAAGGAUAUUGCUUAAUUUCUUUUCUUUCUUCCUAAGAAGAUCUUGUAUAAAGUCAACCUCAUGGGAAUAAAGGAUUAAGUCGGCAAGAAGAAGGCACACUUGGUUACCAUGGGAAUGCCAAUUGUUUAUUGAAAAACACGUCCUCCAAACGUAUCAAAUAUGUUGUCAAUCAAGAAUGUCAGUUUAAGAGUAUUUUUUGUUUAAAUCAGUGUGAUUUUUUACAAAGUAGUGUGUAUCCCUCCCUAAGACAAGAUAUUUGUAUCCACGUUGGCCAUUCUUUUUUAUGAAAUAAAGCAAUACCAAC